This 577-nucleotide long non-coding RNA is filed under the name Equus caballus (horse). RNAcentral's name for it is "lncRNA (ENSECAG00000028558.3)". Lineage: Eukaryota; Metazoa; Chordata; Mammalia; Perissodactyla; Equidae. The record is from RNAcentral.
ACUGAUGUUCCAUAGAACAUAGUUUAGGGAACACAGCUGUAAAGCUCAAAAACUUUUCAAUUGUUUGAAUAAUGCUAGUCACUUUUGUAAUUUAAUUUAAGUAAAUUUAACCUGUCCCAAUUAGGCCAUGGUCCCUUCAAAUUUCCGAAAUGUGUAUGGCAUUGAGAUGGUUAAUGAAUUCAGUUUACUCAAAGGUAAAUUCAUGGCAAGCUCUUGAAAUGGGCAAGCAGAACUCUUUUCUACAAUUGUGCUAUCAUGCUGGCAGCUCCAAUUUAUCAAGCUUAAAGUAUUGCCAAUUUUGCUGUUCAAAUCUCUAUGCUAGAGUAAUUGGAUUUGCAAACCAGGAACUGGUACCCAACAGCACACCAUCAUGACUACCAUCAUUACUUCUACUACCAUUAACACCAUUUAAUGACUGUACUAUGAACCAGGCACUGUGGACAAGAAACUCCUCAAAGUCUGGGACUAUGCCUCAGUUACCUUUGUGUCCUCUGCAGUGUUCAUGAUGUUUCAUAACAUGCAGUAGGGGCGCAAUAGCUCUUUGAUGAACAGAAUUGAAAGGAUACUUGCUCUCCGC